Molecule: long non-coding RNA, 1011 nt
Organism: Ziziphus jujuba (common jujube)
Lineage: Eukaryota; Viridiplantae; Streptophyta; Magnoliopsida; Rosales; Rhamnaceae
Exons: 5
Source: RefSeq, a predicted model, not a curated record
GUGGCUAAUAAAUACUGGCAACUGUGGCUUUAUUCUUUUUAUUUUUGCUUCUAUAGAGGUUGGUUGAUGAGCAAGAGCUCCAGUUUCACAAGGAAUACAUGAAUGAACAAGAUCCCAGCAUUCCUCACUUCCUUUUUGCAUCAGGAAAUAUGUUUCUGACAAGCAAGUCUAUGAUGAUUUGAUGACACUGCUUUAUAGCUGGCUAUGAAACAUCACUGUAGUUUUAACAUGGACCUUUUAUCUUCUGUCCAAGGAGCUUAAGGUUGUGGCAAAGCUUCAAGAAGAGGACCAACGAAGUGGCAACAUGUUUGCUACAUAUGAGACUGUAGUAGCACUUGCAAUGCUUGUUUGGAGAUUUAACUUUCAAAUGACAUAUGGAGCUCCAUAAAUAAGCCACUCAUCUUAAUACUCAGAAUCUUUUUUCUAGCCAUUCAUAUCAUCUUUUCUGCUUUGCAUCAGCAACUUGUUCUUAAAAAUUUCUUUGUGUGUGUAGGUGAAGAUCACAACAGGGGCAACAAUUAUUGGUUGUCGAAGAUGACCAUAACAAGAAGAGUGCAACCUCCUUACCUACAUUAGAGAUGCCAGCCCUGAAAGUAGAUAAAAUCUGUUGGUGUUUUUGAAAAGUACCUUUCAGUUGCUGAGAGAAUGGUCACCUUAUGCAAAAUAUAUGAAGUUUAUAGUAUAAAGCAGGCGGUGGUUCUUAUUGCAUUUUGAAAAUCGAUGUGGUUGUAGAUGGGGAAAGAUUUGGAUUGUUUUUUGAAAAUUGAUUUGGUUGUGGGUGGGGAAAGAUUUGAAGAAGGAUUACAAUCAUUGUGAGGAACCAAACAAGUGCAUGUAAUUCACCAAAGGAAUAUAUAUUAAGGAAGAAAAAAGGCAGAAAGACUGAGGAAAGAUAAGGCAUAGACUAAAAUGUAGUGGUCUGUUGCUCAAUGGUCACAUAACAAAGAUGUAAGAUCCAAUUAAUUACAGAGAAAAAUUCAUUUUACUACAGUGAAAUCUACUUUGCCGAAA